GGCUCAGAUUGAACGCUGGCGGCAUGCCUUACACAUGCAAGUCGAACGGCAGCACGGGAGCUUGCUCCUGGUGGCGAGUGGCGAACGGGUGAGUAAUACAUCGGAACGUACCCAGGAGUGGGGGAUAACGUAGCGAAAGUUACGCUAAUACCGCAUAUUCUGUGAGCAGGAAAGCGGGGGAUCGCAAGACCUCGCGCUCUUGGAGCGGCCGAUGUCGGAUUAGCUAGUUGGUGAGGUAAAAGCUCACCAAGGCGACGAUCCGUAGCAGGUCUGAGAGGAUGAUCUGCCACACUGGGACUGAGACACGGCCCAGACUCCUACGGGAGGCAGCAGUGGGGAAUUUUGGACAAUGGGGGCAACCCUGAUCCAGCCAUGCCGCGUGAGUGAAGAAGGCCUUCGGGUUGUAAAGCUCUUUCGGCGGGGAAGAAAUGGCAACGGCUAAUAUCCGUUGUUGAUGACGGUACCCGCAUAAGAAGCACCGGCUAACUAC
Molecule: ribosomal RNA, 490 nt
Filed under: uncultured bacterium
Lineage: Bacteria
Description: bacterial SSU rRNA
Rfam family: Bacterial small subunit ribosomal RNA
Source: RNAcentral